GUGGGGAAUAUUGGGCAAUGGGCGAAAGCCUGACCCAGCAACGCCGCGUGAAGGAAGAAGGUCUUCGGAUCGUAAACUUCUAUCCUUGGUGAAGAUAAUGACGGUAGCCGAGAAGGAAGCCCCGGCUAACUACGUGCCAGCAGCCGCGGUAAUACGUAGGGGGCAAGCGUUGGCCGGAAUGAUUGGGCGUAAAGGGUGCGUAGGCGGCCUGGUAAGUCUGGAGGAGAAGUCCUGCUUUUAAGGUGGGAAUUGAUUUGGAUACUGUCGGGCUUGAGUGCAGGAGAGGUAAGUGGAAUUACCGGUGUAGCGGUGAAAUGCGUAGAGAUCGGGAGGAACACCAGUGGCGAAGGCGACUUACUGGACUGUAACUGACGCUGAGGCGCGAAAGUGUGGGGAGCAAACAGGAUUAGAUACCCUUGUAGUCC
RNAcentral lists this ribosomal RNA (425 nucleotides) under uncultured bacterium. RNAcentral's name for it is "partial 16S ribosomal RNA". It matches the Rfam family "Bacterial small subunit ribosomal RNA", at positions 354 to 796 of the family's 1533-position model. The record is from RNAcentral.